UUCAGUACAUGGAAGGGAGAAUGUGUUUCUUUCUGCAGUUUUCAGGUAGCUCAAAUAGAAUCCCUGCUGAAAGACACCUGGGGAGUCAUCUGCUUUUAUCUGUCCAUUUUGCAGGCCCCGACCCUCUCUCUUCUCUUUGUCUUCUGCAUCCUGUGCUCCUGGCGCCUCCUUGUGGCUAAAAAUAUCAACUGCAGCCAUGACUACACUCGACAUGAUCCCAGGAAAAUCUCGGACAUCAUAGACUGCAGAGAUUGAGGGACCCUUAGAAAUUAUUUUACAUUUUCCCCUGUGGCGAGACUGACCUGAGCCAAUAUGACAACCCAAGAAUCCUGAUUUCCAGACCAGUUCCUCAAAUGGGCUGCCGUUGACUAAAUAUUUGAAUAAUAGUGAUGAGUAUGAUUCAGGGAAGGAAAUGACCCAAUCAAUCACUAAUUGUUUUUAGGGCCAAAAGCAUGAACUAAAUAAAAGUCAUUAUAGUUUCGUG
Molecule: long non-coding RNA, 484 nt
Organism: Galeopterus variegatus (Sunda flying lemur)
Lineage: Eukaryota; Metazoa; Chordata; Mammalia; Dermoptera; Cynocephalidae
Exons: 2
Source: RefSeq, a predicted model, not a curated record